This 253-nucleotide ribosomal RNA is filed under the name uncultured bacterium. RNAcentral's name for it is "partial 16S ribosomal RNA". It matches the Rfam family "Bacterial small subunit ribosomal RNA", at positions 524 to 776 of the family's 1533-position model. The record is from RNAcentral.
UACGUAGGGUGCAAGCGUUGUCCGGAAUUAUUGGGCGUAAAGAGCUCGUAGGCGGUCUGUCGCGUCGGCUGUGAAAACCUGGGGCUUAACUCCGGGCCUGCAGCCGAUACGGGCAGACUAGAGUUCGGCAGGGGAGACUGGAAUUCCUGGUGUAGCGGUGAAAUGCGCAGAUAUCAGGAGGAACACCGGUGGCGAAGGCGGGUCUCUGGGCCGAAACUGACGCUGAGGAGCGAAAGCGUGGGGAGCAAACAGG